RNAcentral lists this non-coding RNA (30 nucleotides) under Mus musculus (house mouse). The record is from RNAcentral. Lineage: Eukaryota; Metazoa; Chordata; Mammalia; Rodentia; Muridae.
UCCCACUCAUGGUCUGGUAAUGUGUUCCUA